Molecule: long non-coding RNA, 589 nt
Organism: Strigops habroptila (Kakapo)
Lineage: Eukaryota; Metazoa; Chordata; Aves; Psittaciformes; Psittacidae
Exons: 2
Source: RefSeq, a predicted model, not a curated record
GUUACGGUCCUCUCCUGCUGUUGCGUUGAGGAAAAAAAGUGAGAAGUUAAAAGAACCAGAGCGUAAUCAAAGUGAGAAUGAAGAUGAACAGCAAUGAUGCCAGAGUUGAUUUUCUCUUGCUUCCCUGAGGCAACCACUGUCCCAGUGUCCCAUGAUGCUGUGAGAUGUGGAACACAACCAAACCCUCCAGCCACUUCACAGAACACCUGCAAAGCAGACAUGCUUCUGCAUUCAAGGAAACCAGUAGGAACCAGGCAACUUAACAGAGCAGAUUCUGGAUAUAAGAAAACCCACAGGAUCUCAUUUCCCCCAGUCCUACAGCAUUUGCAGAGGUGAACAGGACACCUCCAUUCCACAGUCCAUCAUCUGAAUAAAGGCGGCAUCUUUCAGCUGCUGAAGCCAUCACACACAAGCCAUUCAAUAGCAGACUUUUUUGAACCUGUCUGUCAAGAGACUCACAAACAUAACUCCCAUACCUCCUUCUUUGGGCUUUGAAAGGAGCGUACUGACUUUGCAGUCUCCCUUUGCUGCUCUGACCAUCAUGCAAGUAGCUCGAUGAGACUUCAGUAAUAAGUUAAGAACAAAAGCA